GAUGACGCUGGCGGCGUGCCUAAUACAUGCAAGUCGAACGAGUUCUCGUUGAUGAUCGGUGCUUGCACCGAGAUUCAACAUGGAACGAGUGGCGGACGGGUGAGUAACACGUGGGUAACCUGCCCUUAAGUGGGGGAUAACAUUUGGAAACAGAUGCUAAUACCGCAUAGAUCCAAGAACCGCAUGGUUCUUGGCUGAAAGAUGGCGUAAGCUAUCGCUUUUGGAUGGACCCGCGGCGUAUUAGCUAGUUGGUGAGGUAAUGGCUCACCAAGGCGAUGAUACGUAGCCGAACUGAGAGGUUGAUCGGCCACAUUGGGACUGAGACACGGCCCAAACUCCUACGGGAGGCAGCAGUAGGGAAUCUUCCACAAUGGACGCAAGUCUGAUGGAGCAACGCCGCGUGAGUGAAGAAGGCUUUCGGGUCGUAAAACUCUGUUGUUGGAGAAGAAUGGUCGGCAGAGUAACUGUUGUCGGCGUGACGGUAUCCAACCAGAAAGCCACGGCUAACUACGUGCCAGCAGCCGCGGUAAUACGUAGGUGGCAAGCGUUAUCCGGAUUUAUUGGGCGUAAAGCGAGCGCAGGCGGUUUUUUAAGUCUGAUGUGAAAGCCCUCGGCUUAACCGAGGAAGCGCAUCGGAAACUGGGAAACUUGAGUGCAGAAGAGGACAGUGGAACUCCAUGUGUAGCGGUGAAAUGCGUAGAUAUAUGGAAGAACACCAGUGGCGAAGGCGGCUGUCUGGUCUGUAACUGACGCUGAGGCUCGAAAGCAUGGGUAGCGAACAGGAUUAGAUACCCUGGUAGUCCAUGCCGUAAACGAUGAAUGCUAGGUGUUGGAGGGUUUCCGCCCUUCAGUGCCGCAGCUAACGCAUUAAGCAUUCCGCCUGGGGAGUACGACCGCAAGGUUGAAACUCAAAGGAAUUGACGGGGGCCCGCACAAGCGGUGGAGCAUGUGGUUUAAUUCGAAGCAACGCGAAGAACCUUACCAGGUCUUGACAUCUUUUGAUCACCUGAGAGAUCAGGUUUCCCCUUCGGGGGCAAAAUGACAGGUGGUGCAUGGUUGUCGUCAGCUCGUGUCGUGAGAUGUUGGGUUAAGUCCCGCAACGAGCGCAACCCUUAUGACUAGUUGCCAGCAUUUAGUUGGGCACUCUAGUAAGACUGCCGGUGACAAACCGGAGGAAGGUGGGGAUGACGUCAAAUCAUCAUGCCCCUUAUGACCUGGGCUACACACGUGCUACAAUGGAUGGUACAACGAGUUGCGAGACCGCGAGGUCAAGCUAAUCUCUUAAAGCCAUUCUCAGUUCGGACUGUAGGCUGCAACUCGCCUACACGAAGUCGGAAUCGCUAGUAAUCGCGGAUCAGCACGCCGCGGUGAAUACGUUCCCGGGCCUUGUACACACCGCCCGUCACACCAUGAGAGUUUGUAACACCCGAAGCCGGUGGCGUAACCCUUUUAGGGAGCGAGCCGUCUAAGGUGGGACAAAUGAUUAGGGG
This 1490-nucleotide ribosomal RNA is filed under the name Lacticaseibacillus casei. RNAcentral describes it as "bacterial SSU rRNA". It matches the Rfam family "Bacterial small subunit ribosomal RNA". The record is from RNAcentral. Lineage: Bacteria; Bacillati; Bacillota; Bacilli; Lactobacillales; Lactobacillaceae.